RNAcentral lists this ribosomal RNA (253 nucleotides) under uncultured bacterium. RNAcentral's name for it is "partial 16S ribosomal RNA". It matches the Rfam family "Bacterial small subunit ribosomal RNA", at positions 524 to 776 of the family's 1533-position model. The record is from RNAcentral.
UACAGAGGUCCCGAGCGUUGUUCGGAUUCAUUGGGCGUAAAGGGUGCGUAGGUGGCGCCGUAAGUGGGGUGUGAAAUCCCGGGGCUUAACCCCGGGACUGCAUUCCAUACUGCGGUGCUUGAGGACUGGAGAGGAGACUGGAAUUUACGGUGUAGCGGUGAAAUGCGUAGAUAUCGUAAGGAAGACCAGUGGCGAAGGCGGGUCUCUGGACAGUUCCUGACGCUGAGGCACGAAGGUCAGGGGAGCAAACGGG